AAAGGAAUAGACGGGGACCCGCACAAGCGGUGGAGCGUGUUGUUUAAUUCGAAGAUAAGCGAAGAACCUUACCAAGGCUUGACUUCCUGCGAAGGUUUCCGAAAGGAAAUUGUGCCUUUUAGGAGCGCAGUGACAGGUGCUGCAUGGCCGUCGUCAGCUCGUGUCGUGAGAUGUAUGGUUAAGUCCAUUAACGAGCGCAACCCUUAUGAUUAGUUGGAUUUUUCUAAUCAGACUGCCCUGGCAACAGGGAGGAAGGAGGGGAUGAUGUCAGGUCAGUAUUGCCCUUACGUCUUGGGCGACAAACACGCUACAAUGGCCGGUACAAAGGGCAGCCAACUCGCGAGAGGGAGCAAACCCCAUCAAAGCUGGUCUUAGUUCGGAUUGCAGGCUGAAACUCGCCUGCAUGAAGUCGGAAUCGCUAGUAACGGUGGGUCAGCUAUACUACCGUGAAUACGUUCCCGGGUCUUGUACACACCGCCCGU
RNAcentral lists this ribosomal RNA (482 nucleotides) under uncultured bacterium. RNAcentral's name for it is "bacterial SSU rRNA". It matches the Rfam family "Bacterial small subunit ribosomal RNA", at positions 903 to 1397 of the family's 1533-position model. The record is from RNAcentral.